Lagenorhynchus albirostris (white-beaked dolphin) is the source of this 66-nucleotide small nucleolar RNA. RefSeq annotates it as small nucleolar RNA SNORD58. The transcript has a single exon. Lineage: Eukaryota; Metazoa; Chordata; Mammalia; Artiodactyla; Delphinidae. The record is from RefSeq and is a predicted model, not a curated record.
CUGCGAUGAUGGCAUUUCUUAGGACACCUUUGGAUUAAUCAGGAAAACAACUACUCUCUGAGCAGC